Molecule: long non-coding RNA, 1299 nt
Organism: Engraulis encrasicolus (European anchovy)
Lineage: Eukaryota; Metazoa; Chordata; Actinopteri; Clupeiformes; Engraulidae
Exons: 6
Source: RefSeq, a predicted model, not a curated record
CUUUGAAUUAACCUAUAUAAAGUAAAUAGAUGCAAAACAAUUCAUUAACAUUCCUUGAGUAAACAUGAUUUCAUCAAAUAAGGAUAAUGUGUUCUUGGAGACUGCUGAAUUGGCAUGUUUCUAAUGCUUUGAAUGAACAUGAUUAAGUUGUGUCCGGGGUGGCCUCCAGUCCUGAGGUGGCGCUAGUGCACCACUUUCUAAGACAAGAAGAAGCCGGAAAGUUCCAAAGCCAGAGAGCCGUUCGCCUCAGCUCGGUCCUACUCUUCAGUCUCAUCUCGCUGGAAUAGUGUUGUCAUGUGUGAAGAUAUACACGAAAUUGAGACUUCUGGCACAGCGGCCUGCACUGUUCGAAGUCUGUAAGAUCAGUGCUGAAUUCAAAAGAAUCACCACAGUCCCCCUGCAAUCCAAGCAACUGUUGCUGAAUUGGCUGAUUUGUACAAGAUGCACCAUUUCUGAGGACUUCUGGCACAGUGGCCUGCACUGUUUAAAGUUCGCAAGAUCAGUGCUGAAUUGAAAAGAAUCCCCACAGUCCCACUGCAAUGGCCUGCACUGUUCCAAGUCCACAAGGUCAUGGAUGAAGUUGCCGUAGACGAAGCAAAUGAAGACAUCACUAUUGGAAUCUGCUCUGACAGAAGAUUGGGCAUCCCACCCUUAGGACAUUGUCAGUUUUAGUGUAUGUCUGUCACACACGUGACACCCAAUCGGAAAGGACUCUUUUUUUCAGCAACUAAAAAACUGUGAAAUGUUUAAGUGAAAUGUACCUUUUUUCUAGAGAUCUAUUUGCUUGUAUGCACUUCCAGCUCCUUGCUGGUUUAAGAAUAGCACUUGAGUGUGCAUAUGUUUUGUACAUACUGUGUUGAUUUUGACCCAAACUAAAGACAAACAAAAUACCAAGAUUAGACUUAAAUAAGACUGGGUAAUGACACAAAUGUGGUCACCAAAGAGGACAACCAAAUGAAUGGUGGACUGCCAGAUGCACGUGCACAUGCAUACAGUAUACGCGCAUGAAUGCACACACGCACACUUACUAGUGUGGACUAAUGCACUUAGUCAAUGAGCUAAAAGAACUGUAUGUAGAGUGAAUUUUAUUUGUGUCCGAUGUGUUCACAUGAAUGCUAAUCCAGCCAGAGAGCACUUUUUCACAGCAACCAAACAAAUCAUUUUCUUAAAGGUGCACUGUGUAGGAUGGUGACCAGAGUAGGCAACUAUGCUGCACAUUGAAACGGUGCUGCCUAUUACCAACUUUGUCCUUUUCAUGAAUAUUUACUUAGUAAUAAACGAAAAUGUGUUAGUAUGACC